AGUGGCGCACCCAGGGGGUGGUUUGGGUGUUAAAACCCCUCCCACCGGCCACCAGUACAUACAAAGAAUAGUAGGAAAAUACAAAUCGGAGAUCCAAAAGUUUUUUUGAUCCAAAAUUGAGUGAUUUGAAAUGGAAUCACCCGUAAUUAUAUGGUAUAAGUUCUUGGCUUGUGGCAGGUGUCGUCCAUUGACGAUUGACGACUCUCUGGAAUUGACCUAGCAGCUUGGUCUUCUGGCCAAAGUCUUUUUAGGCUUAGGAGUCUGUCAAUCACUGGAGGGUUUUGAAUUUUAAACUUUAUCGCAGAGUAAAUGUUGAAAAAUACUUUUUAUUGUACCUAUUAUAUUAUAUAAACAAUGAAAUAUUAUUCUGGUCCAGAUAAUAAAAAUAUUAUUUAUAACAAUUAUUAAA
RNAcentral lists this long non-coding RNA (409 nucleotides) under Diabrotica virgifera virgifera (western corn rootworm). RNAcentral describes it as "uncharacterized LOC126882236". Lineage: Eukaryota; Metazoa; Arthropoda; Insecta; Coleoptera; Chrysomelidae. The record is from RNAcentral.